RNAcentral lists this ribosomal RNA (616 nucleotides) under Lysobacteraceae bacterium SJ62. RNAcentral describes it as "bacterial SSU rRNA". It matches the Rfam family "Bacterial small subunit ribosomal RNA", at positions 829 to 1443 of the family's 1533-position model. The record is from RNAcentral. Lineage: Bacteria; Pseudomonadati; Pseudomonadota; Gammaproteobacteria; Lysobacterales; Lysobacteraceae.
CAAUUUGUCACUCAGUAUCGAAGCUACCGCUUUAAGUUUACCGCCUGGGGAGUACGGUCGCAAGAUUGAAACUCAAAGGAAUUGACGGGGGCGCGCACAAGCGCUGGAGUAUGUGGUUUUAAUUUGAUGCAACGCGAAGAACCUUACCUGGUCUUGACAUGUCGAGAUCUGUCCAGAGAAGGAUAUGUGCCUUUGGGAACUCGAACACAGGUGCUGCAUGGCUGUAGUCAUCUCGUGUCGUGAGAUGUUGGGUUAAGUCGUGCAACGAGGGCAACCAUUGUCCUUAGUUGCCAGCACGUAAUGGUGGGACCUUUAAGGAGACCUCCGGUGACAAACCGGAGGAAAGUUGGGAUGACGUCAAGUUUUCUUGGGCCUUUUGACCAGGGGUACACACGUACUACAAAGGUAGGGACAGAGGGGUGCAAAACCGCGAGGGCAAGCCAAUUCCAGCAACCCUAUUUCAAUUUGGGAUGGCAUUUUGCAAUUGGAUCCAUGAAAUUGGAAAUCCUAGAAUCGCAGAUCAGCAUUGUUGCGGUGAAUACGUUCCCGGGCCUUGUACACACCGCCCGUCACACCAUGGGAGUUUGUUGCACCAGAAGCAGGUAGCUUAACGCUC